UACUACGGGAGGAUCAACUUGAAGCUGGAACCAAAGCAGCACAGCAGGAAGAGUUAGAGCGCCUAAAAAGACUUGAGCAACAAAGAAGGAAUUUGUGUUACCCACCUUGCCAUUUGAACUAUUACAAGAAUCGAACACCCAAACUUUAAAAAAGGAACCUGUUUGGAAUGAAGAGGAAAUUGUACAGAAAGCAGAUGAACAUCUGGCAACCACCACCAAGGCCCUCUAAAUCUGAGGUAAUCUGUGUGGACAUAAGCAGCGAGAGUGAAGAAGAUGCAGGGGGAGUAAACAAAGUUGUAAAGGAUGGUGAGAAUAUAACUGGAUCUAUUCCCAUUUUCAUAUUAUUCCUUGGCCCGAGGCACGCACUUGUCUUCUUCCCACCACAAAAAAGUGUAUGCAAACUUACAUUGCGGCAUGGUUUCAAAGGCAUUGACA
This is a long non-coding RNA of Amblyraja radiata (thorny skate), 435 nucleotides long. RefSeq lists it as uncharacterized. Lineage: Eukaryota; Metazoa; Chordata; Chondrichthyes; Rajiformes; Rajidae. The record is from RefSeq and is a predicted model, not a curated record. The transcript has 3 exons.